This 164-nucleotide ribosomal RNA is filed under the name Sabal yapa. RNAcentral describes it as "5.8S ribosomal RNA". It matches the Rfam family "5.8S ribosomal RNA". From Rfam's summary of the family: 5.8S ribosomal RNA (5.8S rRNA) is a component of the large subunit of the eukaryotic ribosome. It is transcribed by RNA polymerase I as part of the 45S precursor that also contains 18S and 28S rRNA. Functionally, it is thought that 5.8S rRNA may be involved in ribosome translocation. The record is from RNAcentral. Lineage: Eukaryota; Viridiplantae; Streptophyta; Magnoliopsida; Arecales; Arecaceae.
AGUAUGACUCUCGGCAACAGAUAUCCUGGCUCUAACAUCGAUAAAGAAUGUAGCGAGAUGCGGUACUUAGUGUGAAUUGUAGAAUCCCGUGAACCAUCGAGUCUUUAAAUGCAAGUUGUGCAUGAGGCUGCCCGGCCGAGGGCAUACCUGCCUGGGUGUCAUGC